This is a small nuclear RNA of Mesocricetus auratus (golden hamster), 107 nucleotides long. NCBI's taxonomy places the organism in Eukaryota, Metazoa, Chordata, Mammalia, Rodentia, Cricetidae. The record is from Ensembl.
GUACUCACUUCAGCACCACACACAGUGAAAUAGGAAUGAUAGAGAGAAGAUUAGUACGGCCCCUGUGCAAGGAUGACAUGCAAAUUCGUGAAGUGUUCCAUAUUUCA